RNAcentral lists this ribosomal RNA (375 nucleotides) under uncultured bacterium. Its description in RNAcentral is "bacterial SSU rRNA". It matches the Rfam family "Bacterial small subunit ribosomal RNA", at positions 29 to 417 of the family's 1533-position model. The record is from RNAcentral.
AACGAACGCUGGCGGCAUGCCUAACACAUGCAAGUCGAACGAAGUCUUCGGACUUAGUGGCGCACGGGUGCGUAACACGUAUGCAAUCUGCCCACAGCCGGGAGAUAGCCCUCCGAAAGGAGGAUUAAUAUCCCAUAGGAAGAUGAGAUGGCAUCAUUUUAUUUUUAAACUACGGGGCUGUGGAUGAGCAUGCGGUUGAUUAGCUAGUUGGCGGGGUAAAGCCCACAAGGCGAUGAUCAAUAGGGGACCUGAGAGGGUGAUCCCCCACACUGGCACUGAGAUACGGGCCAGACUCCUACGGGAGGCAGCAGUGGGGAAUAUUGGACAAUGGGGGGCAACCCUGAUCCAGCAAUGCCGCGUGAGUGAUGAAGGCCU